UACGAAGGAUGCAAGCGUUAUCCGGAUUCAUUGGGUUUAAAGGGAGCGUAGGUGGCCUGCUAAGUCAGCGGUGAAAUCUCUGGGCUUAACCCAGAAAUUGCCAUUGAUACUGGUGGGCUUGAGUGCAGUUGCUGUUGGCGGAAUAUGACAUGUAGUGGUGAAAUACAUAGAGAUGUCAUAGAACACCGAUUGCGAAGGCAGCUAACAAAACUGUAACUGACACUGAGGCUCGAAAGUGUGGGGAUCAAACAGG
This 253-nucleotide ribosomal RNA is filed under the name uncultured bacterium. Its description in RNAcentral is "partial 16S ribosomal RNA". It matches the Rfam family "Bacterial small subunit ribosomal RNA", at positions 524 to 776 of the family's 1533-position model. The record is from RNAcentral.